CUCAAGCUCACCAUGUAUCUGAGGAUGA
RNAcentral lists this non-coding RNA (28 nucleotides) under Rattus norvegicus (Norway rat). The record is from RNAcentral. Lineage: Eukaryota; Metazoa; Chordata; Mammalia; Rodentia; Muridae.